Molecule: ribosomal RNA, 440 nt
Filed under: bacterium 2.8
Lineage: Bacteria
Description: bacterial SSU rRNA
Rfam family: Bacterial small subunit ribosomal RNA
Source: RNAcentral
AAGUCUGACGGAGCAACGCCGCGUGAGUGAUGAAGGUUUUCGGAUCGUAAAACUCUGUUGUUAGGGAAGAACAAGUACCGUUCGAAUAGGGCGGUACCUUGACGGUACCUAACCAGAAAGCCACGGCUAACUACGUGCCAGCAGCCGCGGUAAUACGUAGGUGGCAAGCGUUGUCCGGAAUUAUUGGGCGUAAAGCGCGCGCAGGCGGUUUCUUAAGUCUGAUGUGAAAGCCCCCGGCUCAACCGGGGAGGGUCAUUGGAAACUGGGGAACUUGAGUGCAGAAGAGGAGAGUGGAAUUCCACGUGUAGCGGUGAAAUGCGUAGAGAUGUGGAGGAACACCAGUGGCGAAGGCGACUCUCUGGUCUGUAACUGACGCUGAGGCGCGAAAGCGUGGGGAGCGAACAGGAUUAGAUACCCUGGUAGUCCACGCCGUAAACGAU